CCUACGGGAGGCAGCAGUGAGGAAUAUUGGUCAAUGGGCGGGAGCCUGAACCAGCCAAGCCGCGUGAGGGAAGAAGGUACAGCGUAUCGUAAACCUCUUUUGUCAGGGAACAAAGGCGGGGACUAGUCCCCGGAUGAGGGUACCUGAAGAAAAAGCAUCGGCUAACACCGUGCCAGCAGCCGCGGUAAUACGGAGGAUGCGAGCGUUAUCCGGAUUUAUGGGGGUUAAGGGGUGCGAAGGCGGCCUGUUAAGUCAGCGGUAAAAGCCCGGGGCUCAACCCCGGCGAGCCGUUGAAACUGGCGGGCUGGAGUUGGAGAGAGGUACGCGGAAUGCGCGGUGUAGCGGUGAAAUGCUUAGAUAUCGCGCAGAACCCCGGUUGCGAAGGCAGCGUACCGGCUCCACACUGACGCUGAGGCACGAAAGCGUGGGUAUCGAACAGGAUUAGAUACCCCAGUAGUC
This 459-nucleotide ribosomal RNA is filed under the name uncultured bacterium. RNAcentral's name for it is "partial 16S ribosomal RNA". It matches the Rfam family "Bacterial small subunit ribosomal RNA", at positions 338 to 795 of the family's 1533-position model. The record is from RNAcentral.